UGCCCGGCAACUCCUAUCCCUACUUCCACGCAGUGCCAGCUGGGGUACGACAUCUGAUCCGCGGGAAUGGGGUCGCUGCUAGGCUCGGCUCCCGUGGGUUUACGUGUCGUACGCUAACAGGGAAGG
This is a non-coding RNA of Anopheles atroparvus, 126 nucleotides long. The record is from Rfam. NCBI's taxonomy places the organism in Eukaryota, Metazoa, Arthropoda, Insecta, Diptera, Culicidae.